AAUAACUUUAGAAAUAAAAAAAUCUCAUAAAAAAUAAGUUAGCAAUGCAUAUAUAUUAUGUGGUUAGACAAAUAUACCCCCAAUUUUAAUGGUUCUCAACGAUAGGUUUAACGGUAGUAAGUUAAAUGAGAAACGAGAUCAAAAGUGAGUGAGUUAACUCAGUUCAGUGAUAUUUUUGAAAUGUAAGUUGUAAUACCCCAUAUCUAAAAGGUUACUGUUCGGGGUUAUGAGUUAUCGCAGAUUUUUCUUUAUUCGCGCUCGGAGAUUUAAAUAAUGAUUGCUCGAAUUUGUUUUCGAGUUUUUCUGAAAAUGGUAAAUAGUGGAUUUAAAACUUCGAAGUCGUGGUACACGUUUAUACGAGCUCACCGGUAUGUCUGGAUUAUUUUCCGGAGCGAUGAGCUAUGUUCUGUGAAUUUAUGAAGUUUACAGUAAAUUUUCAAUUAUUGUUUCUUGUAACCGUUUUAUCGUAAAAGACCUAAAAGUUGACUUUUCGUUAAGUCGAUAAUUUGGGAAAACUUCCUUCAUGGAAGUUGUAGAGGACGUUAAUACGAGUUCGUGGACACAUGGCACGCUCAAAUCGGAGUUCGUAUGAGAAAGUUAUGGUCUAAAAACGGAAAGUUACUAUUUCGGUAAAGGGAAGAAGAUAUUUUUUUUAGAGGAAGAAAGGUCUAGAAGGUUUCGGGGGGAGAAAAGGAGAAGAGUAAAAGAAGGUUCGAGAGAGAAAAAGAAAAGAAAAAGGGGAGAAAAACAGAAAACAUACCGACUCGGGGGAGAGCGACUCGGUAGCGACGGAGCUCAGCUCCCUCCUUUGUCAUCCGGCCGCCUUCCAGUGCAAGGCUAGGAUCCACAGGCCCGUCUCGACGUCCUCAUCCUCCCUGUGAUUCCAUUUUUGAGGAGUGGAGGUCCGGUGAGAGAGAAAAGGAGGAAAGAAGGCGAUUGGGUUUUCGAUCGGAUUUCCGAUACCGGCGACGGGGGCGAGCGUGACCGGUAUUGGCAGCUUGAUCUCGUUCUCCCUGACGUCGCUGUGCUAUUGGAUUUUCAUGGGAAGCUGAGGAGAGAGAGAUU
This 1065-nucleotide long non-coding RNA is filed under the name Fragaria vesca (wild strawberry). Its description in RNAcentral is "long non-coding RNA (FVES_LNC004018)". Lineage: Eukaryota; Viridiplantae; Streptophyta; Magnoliopsida; Rosales; Rosaceae. The record is from RNAcentral.